GAGGAAAGGUCAUUGAUGAAGCAGCUCAAGAUACCUCAACCUAGGACAUUACCUUGAAGAACUCCUGCAGAGAUAUUCUGGAGCUGCAAUCAUUAACCUCCAAAAACCAAAACCAUCUUUCUUUGUCCUAGGACGUUGCUUAUGAGUUCUGUCCAUGGUGAAUACUGACAUGGUGAAUGGCUAUUGAAGAUAUAUAAGAGAAUGUGAGGAAGAGUACAGUAAAACACACUGAAAAGCUUUCAUUUGUCACCAUGAUUCAGCACCAUUUUGAAUCAUUUAAGAAUCAGGGAAAAAAUGAAGACAUAACUUAAAGAUAGUCCAUCAGUGCUGAGCCAACUUAUCAACAUCAACAAUGCCUCCGCCAUUAUUCCUCUUCCACCACUACACCACUGUCGACACCAGAUCCAACCAACGUUAAAGUCAUCGAUCCUCAGGCACCAUCUUUCGCCACUGGACUCUUCGCCAUUGGCUCACCACCACCUGCGCCAGACCAACCAAAGUCAGAGUCAUGUCUUUCGCUGCUGGGACCACCUCAUCCAUGUUGCUGUGAUGCCCUUCCUCUGCUGCUAGCAUCAGACCGUACUAACAACAAAGUCACUGAUCCUCAGAAACCACUUUUAGCUGCUGGGCCUACCUCGCUGACAUCGCC
Chiloscyllium plagiosum (whitespotted bambooshark) is the source of this 649-nucleotide non-coding RNA. The record is from RefSeq and is a predicted model, not a curated record. NCBI's taxonomy places the organism in Eukaryota, Metazoa, Chordata, Chondrichthyes, Orectolobiformes, Hemiscylliidae.